CUAUGGGACGCACCAGUAAGGAAUAUUGCGCAAUGGAGGCAACUCUGACGCAGCCAUGCCGCGUGCAGGAAGAAGGCCUUAUGGGUCGUAAACUGCUUUUAUUUAGGAAUAAACCCCCGAACGUGUUCGGGGCUGAAGGUACUAAACGAAUAAGCACCGGCUAACUCCGUGCCAGCAGCCGCGGUAAUACGGAGGGUGCAAGCGUUAUCCGGAUUUAUUGGGUUUAAAGGGUGCGCAGGCGGGCUAUUAAGUCAGUGGUGAAAUCCCGGGGCUCAACUCCGGAACUGCCAUUGAUACUGAUAGUCUUGAGUUUGGUUGAAGUGGGCGGAAUGUAGCAUGUAGCGGUGAUAUGCAUAGAUAUGCUACAGAACACCAAUCGCGAAGGCAGCUCACUAAGCCAAAACUGACGCUCAUGCACGAAAGCGUGGGGAUCAAACAGGAUUAGAUACCCGGGUAGUC
RNAcentral lists this ribosomal RNA (459 nucleotides) under uncultured bacterium. RNAcentral's name for it is "partial 16S ribosomal RNA". It matches the Rfam family "Bacterial small subunit ribosomal RNA", at positions 339 to 795 of the family's 1533-position model. The record is from RNAcentral.